This 492-nucleotide ribosomal RNA is filed under the name uncultured bacterium. RNAcentral describes it as "partial 16S ribosomal RNA". It matches the Rfam family "Bacterial small subunit ribosomal RNA", at positions 29 to 507 of the family's 1533-position model. The record is from RNAcentral.
AGUGAACGCUGGCGGUAGGCCUAACACAUGCAAGUCGAACGGCAGCACAGUAAGAGCUUGCUCUUACGGGUGGCGAGUGGCGGACGGGUGAGGAAUACAUCGGAAUCUACUUUUUCGUGGGGGAUAACGUAGGGAAACUUACGCUAAUACCGCAUACGACCUACGGGUGAAAGCAGGGGAUCUUCGGACCUUGCGCGAUUGAAUGAGCCGAUGUCGGAUUAGCUAGUUGGCGGGGUAAAGGCCCACCAAGGCGACGAUCCGUAGCUGGUCUGAGAGGAUGAUCAGCCACACUGGAACUGAGACACGGUCCAGACUCCUACGGGAGGCAGCAGUGGGGAAUAUUGGACAAUGGGCGCAAGCCUGAUCCAGCCAUACCGCGUAGGUGAAGAAGGCCUUCGGGUUGUAAAGCCCUUUUGUUGGGGAAGAAAAGCAGCAGGUGAAUACCCCGCUGUUCUGACGGUACCCAAAGAAUAAGCACCGGCUAACUUCGUG